UGAACGCUAGCGGCAGGCUUAACACAUGCAAGUCGAGGGGUAACAGAAUAGCUUGCUAUUGCUGACGACCGGCGCACGGGUGCGUAACGCGUAUACAAUCUACCUUACACAGGAGAAUAGCCCUAAGAAAUUGGGAUUAAUGCUCCAUAGCAAUAUUAAAUCGCAUGAUUUAAUAUUUAAAGCUUCGGUGGUGUAAGAUGAGUAUGCGUCCUAUUAGUUAGUUGGUAAGGUAACGGCUUACCAAGACAGCGAUAGGUAGGGGGCCUGAGAGGGUUAUCCCCCACACUGGUACUGAGACACGGACCAGACUCCUACGGGAGGCAGCAGUGAGGAAUAUUGGUCAAUGGAGGCAACUCUGAACCAGCCAUGCCGCGUGAAGGAAGAAUGUCCUACGGAUUGUAAACUUCUUUUAUUGGGAAGAAACCUCUGGUCGAGAACCAGGGCUGACGGUACCAAAAGAAUAAGGACCGGC
RNAcentral lists this ribosomal RNA (472 nucleotides) under uncultured bacterium. Its description in RNAcentral is "bacterial SSU rRNA". It matches the Rfam family "Bacterial small subunit ribosomal RNA", at positions 30 to 497 of the family's 1533-position model. The record is from RNAcentral.